CGCUUUCGAAUUACGAUAAAAGAAAUAAGUUUUUCGGUUUAUGAACGUUUAUCACGCUUCUUGAGUAAAUUUUCUUUCGUAUAAUGGUUGGAAAAACUAAUGGAGAUGUGUUUUUUUUGCUUUCUGUUUGCAGGAACGUGGCGGUACGAAACGCCGAAAUAUGAAAAUAAACACGAUGAAAUUGAUCUUGGAAACGAGAAAGAGCUAAGGUUUAAAGGAUUCGGAUAUUGGGUUCAGAAAUAGAGGACCAAGUUGAUGAAACGACGCCGCGCCGAUUAGGACCUCGUGACUUGAGAAAAUGACCAUUAGUGUUGUAGCAGAAGAAAAAUUGACAAACUACGAUGAAAAUUUUCCUGAUCAUCGAGAUAAAGAACUCACCUCGUCCAUAACACAGCGAUUCGGUAGUAAAGAUCACCAAAAGCAGCACCACACUC
Molecule: long non-coding RNA, 434 nt
Organism: Planococcus citri (citrus mealybug)
Lineage: Eukaryota; Metazoa; Arthropoda; Insecta; Hemiptera; Pseudococcidae
Exons: 3
Source: RefSeq, a predicted model, not a curated record